GGAUAUCUCCCCUCCCCCGCUCCCUCUGUCUCCCUCUCUCCCUCCCCUCUCCCCUCUCCCAUGAGAGGACACAGCCAGAAGGAGACCGUCUGCAAGCCAAGGAGAGAAGCCUCACCAGCCAUGGAAUCUAUAGGCACCUUGAUGUUGGACUUCCAGCCUCCAGAGCUAUGGAAGCCAACCGUCGGGAGCACACACACCACAUUACAAGGAUCCCAGCCAGGCCCAGGAGGGGAAGCAAGGACACCCUAGAGGCAGAGAGAACUGGCAGGCUGGAGUGAAGUGGCAUGAUCUCAGCUCACUGGAAUGUCCACCUCCUAGGUUCAAGUGAUUCUCCUGCCUCAGCCUCCCAAGUGGCUGGGAUUACAGGAUUUUUCAUGGGCCGAUCUGCUGAAUUCAGCCUAGGAGCUGAGACCAACAUCUGAGUCUCUUCAGCACACAAGUUUGAAAGAAGUCCUAGCAACUUCAAGCUCAGAACUACGGGUGGCAGCAGCUCCCUCUUGACGUCGAAGCCUCCCAUUCCAGAGAGAGUCAAGGCCUGGAUCAAACAAAGCCCACAAGCACCGAUGACUGAGCUGCUGACUACCCCCAGCAUCUCCAACUCAACCUCCUCUUUCUGCCUCUACCCAAAUUUUAAAACUUUCAAACAUGGGUUUAAAAAUGGUAAUGAGUAAAGUUGCAUCCAAGUGUAUCAAAUAAAACUAAAUAUCCAUAA
Molecule: long non-coding RNA, 712 nt
Filed under: Homo sapiens (human)
Lineage: Eukaryota; Metazoa; Chordata; Mammalia; Primates; Hominidae
Description: HSALNT0353413
Source: RNAcentral